RNAcentral lists this ribosomal RNA (694 nucleotides) under Shigella flexneri. Its description in RNAcentral is "bacterial SSU rRNA". It matches the Rfam family "Bacterial small subunit ribosomal RNA", at positions 89 to 779 of the family's 1533-position model. The record is from RNAcentral. Lineage: Bacteria; Pseudomonadati; Pseudomonadota; Gammaproteobacteria; Enterobacterales; Enterobacteriaceae.
UGACGAGUGGCGGACGGGUGAGUAAUGUCUGGGAAACUGCCUGAUGGAGGGGGAUAACUACUGGAAACGGUAGCUAAUACCGCAUAACGUCGCAAGACCAAAGAGGGGGACCUUCGGGCCUCUUGCCAUCGGAUGUGCCCAGAUGGGAUUAGCUAGUAGGUGGGGUAACGGCUCACCUAGGCGACGAUCCCUAGCUGGUCUGAGAGGAUGACCAGCCACACUGGAACUGAGACACGGUCCAGACUCCUACGGGAGGCAGCAGUGGGGAAUAUUGCACAAUGGGCGCAAGCCUGAUGCAGCCAUGCCGCGUGUAUGAAGAAGGCCUUCGGGUUGUAAAGUACUUUCAGCGGGGAGGAAGGGAGUAAAGUUAAUACCUUUGCUCAUUGACGUUACCCGCAGAAGAAGCACCGGCUAACUCCGUGCCAGCAGCCGCGGUAAUACGGAGGGUGCAAGCGUUAAUCGGAAUUACUGGGCGUAAAGCGCACGCAGGCGGUUUGUUAAGUCAGAUGUGAAAUCCCCGGGCUCAACCUGGGAACUGCAUCUGAUACUGGCAAGCUUGAGUCUCGUAGAGGGGGGUAGAAUUCCAGGUGUAGCGGUGAAAUGCGUAGAGAUCUGGAGGAAUACCGGUGGCGAAGGCGGCCCCCUGGACGAAGACUGACGCUCAGGUGCGAAAGCGUGGGGAGCAAACAGGAUU